This 463-nucleotide ribosomal RNA is filed under the name Vreelandella stevensii. Its description in RNAcentral is "partial 16S ribosomal RNA". It matches the Rfam family "Bacterial small subunit ribosomal RNA", at positions 338 to 795 of the family's 1533-position model. The record is from RNAcentral. Lineage: Bacteria; Pseudomonadati; Pseudomonadota; Gammaproteobacteria; Oceanospirillales; Halomonadaceae.
CCUACGGGUGGCAGCAGUGGGGAAUAUUGGACAAUGGGCGAAAGCCUGAUCCAGCCAUGCCGCGUGUGUGAAGAAGGCCUUCGGGUUGUAAAGCACUUUCAGUGGGGAAGAAAGCCUUGGGGCUAAUACCCUCGAGGAAGGACAUCACCCACAGAAGAAGCACCGGCUAACUCCGUGCCAGCAGCCGCGGUAAUACGGAGGGUGCGAGCGUUAAUCGGAAUUACUGGGCGUAAAGCGCGCGUAGGCGGUCUGAUAAGCCGGUUGUGAAAGCCCCGGGCUCAACCUGGGAACGGCAUCCGGAACUGUCAGGCUAGAGUGCAGGAGAGGAAGGUAGAAUUCCCGGUGUAGCGGUGAAAUGCGUAGAGAUCGGGAGGAAUACCAGUGGCGAAGGCGGCCUUCUGGACUGACACUGACGCUGAGGUGCGAAAGCGUGGGUAGCAAACAGGAUUAGAUACCCUGAGUC